GGGUUGUCAGCCAAAAUUUGCUGAGGGGCUUGAGCUUAUUUGUAGCUGAUGGUUGCUUUCUGAAGGCUUUGGGGGAGCACCUUGGGGUGCAUCGCUGCAUCCCGGGACUUCAAGGAUCCCAUCCCGCUCACGGGGCUGGGAUUUACGGCAAGAGCGCGUCCACGAGGGGCUGCGCGGCGUAAGAGCGGAGUCAGGGGAUGCAGCAUCGCUCUGACCGGGCACAGGAACGAGGACACCUCCACAAGCUCCACAUCCACAGCACCGCUGUAAGAGCCAAUCUCCCUGAGGAAAGGGAGCUUCUGGCAUGCUGUGCACAAGUACUCAGGGAUCUGCUAAAGCGAUUAAUAACCAGCCCUGCCCGAGGUGCAUGAGGAGGAUUCCAAUCCGUCUCCAAAAAAGCAAAUCGACCCGGAGUUAUCUUCACAGAGCCAGCCUGGGAGUGCAGGAAGGAUUCCCGCUCCCUCUGCCAGCAGCGUCUGCUCUCCUCCCUGCCGGGAUAAUUGCUCCAUCUACCAGCAGGCUGCUCCUGGCAGUGCUCGGUUGGGACACGGUGUUCCAGGGAUCCAGGCUGCUUCCUUGAGCGCCCGCACAGCCACCAGGUGCUUGCUGCCUGCUGUCUCCUGGGGCUGACCUUUGCAGCAGGGCAGGCAGGGACUGGGAUCAUCCCUGGGGCUUGGAGGCUGCCGGAGGGUUUGCGCAACAGCUCUCGCUCAGAGCCCCUGAUAUUUUAUAGAAUCCUUGAAUCCCAGGCUGGAAGGGACCUCAGGGAUCGUCUGGUCCAAUCUUUCUUGGCAAAAGCACGGUCUAGACGAGAUGGCCCAGCACCACAUCCAGGCAAAUCUUAAGAGUCCAGCAUUGGGGAAACCACCGCUUCCCUGGGGAAAUUAUUCCAAUUGUUGAUUGUUCUCAUUGUGAAAAAUUUUCCUCCUGUUUCCAACUGGAAUCUCCCCAGGAAUAACUUGUACCCAGUGCAGGGUGUGAUUUUUUCCUAAAGGGCUCUUGCACACAAGCUUUUCCUGGAGGGAGGGGGGGGGGGGAAAAUCAUCAGAAUAAAAAGAAAGUAAUUAGAGAAAUAAAAUGGGGUUGCACAUAGGGCUGAGCAUCAGCAAACACAGCAUGUCCUCCAACAGCAGCUCUGUAUCAUCUAUUUUUUUGUGCAGUGAGUGUGAGAGAGAGCAGUGGUUUGGCUCAGCACAGUCAGAAUGAUUCCAGUUGUGCCUGGGACUGGGGCCGUGGUGAGCUCGAGGAGAGCGACCUCACUCAAGCAGUCACUAGCAGAUCAUUUAGGAGUUUUAUUUCUUUAUUGGUGAUUAAUGGCAGUGCUUCAUUUCUAAUGGAAGGAAAUAGGGAGGAAAUGGUUUCUUGCCUUCAUUUGUCAGGGAUUUGUUUAAAAGGGCGCUCGUUCCCUGGAAAUAGGUCAGGGUUGUGUAUUUCCAGGGAUGAGCAGCUGCUGGGGCUGAGGCUGGAUGUCAGAUGUUUGGAUGAUGGAGGACCCAAGGCUUUCCUGUGUGAGGACAUUCCCGUCUCCCAGCCCAUCCCUGCCCAUCCCUGGGCCCUGUGCCAGGGACACCCUGUGUCCUGCUGCUGCUGGAUGGAGCGGGAGGGUUUGAAGCUCCCAGCUGAGGCAGCCUCUGGCUGUGCACAGAAGAUCAGCAGUUAAUGGGGUGGAAAUGGGUUUUCCUGGCGUGUCCCUGCAGCAGGGCCCUGGGAGCUGUGUGCCUCCCUGAGGGGUUUUGGAGCAGGUAGUCACAGAAUCAUAGAUUCCUAGAUUUAUGUGGGUUGGAAAAGCCCUCUGUGAUCACAGAGUCUGACUGCUCCUCCAGCACUGCCAAGGCCACCACUAACCCACGUCUCCAAGUGCCACAGGUCUUUUAAACCCCUCCAGGGCUGGUGACUGCACCAGUGCCUGGGGCAGCCUGUACCAGGGCUGGAGAACCCUUUGGGUGAAGAUGUUUUCCCUAAUUUCCAAUCCAAACCUCCCCUGGCACAACUUGAGGCCGUUUUCUCUUGUCCUGUCCCUGUUCCCUGGGAGCAGAGCCUGACUCCCCUGGGUCAGGGAUUUGUGGGGGUGAGAAGGUCCCCCCUGAGCCUCCUUUUCUCCUUCACCUGCUCCUCAUCAGACUUGUGCUCCAGACCUUCUUGGGCACACAAAUGCAUUGGGCACAGAGCUUUCAAAAGAAAAAAAAUCUUGGUUUUGAGUGGAGUGAAUGUAUUGCCCAAAACUCCCCGUGAGAAACAGGAACCAGGAGGCACCACCGGGCAGAAGAUGCCACUGUCCCAUGUCCUUGCUGCUGCCAGAGCAGAAAAGCUGAGGUGGGGUCAGUGCCACUGGGAUGUCUGCCUUGUGCCGUGAUUUGUGUGUCAGCCACACGGGGGGAUGCACUGGGAAGCUGUAGAAGGGUUUAACGGGGCUCCACCCCUCACUGCUGCCCU
This is a long non-coding RNA of Hirundo rustica (Barn swallow), 2433 nucleotides long. RefSeq lists it as uncharacterized. Lineage: Eukaryota; Metazoa; Chordata; Aves; Passeriformes; Hirundinidae. The record is from RefSeq and is a predicted model, not a curated record. The transcript is spliced from 3 exons.